RNAcentral lists this long non-coding RNA (895 nucleotides) under Phoenix dactylifera (date palm). Its description in RNAcentral is "long non-coding RNA (PDAC_LNC006031)". The record is from RNAcentral. Lineage: Eukaryota; Viridiplantae; Streptophyta; Magnoliopsida; Arecales; Arecaceae.
UACAUUCUUUUUUUAAAUAAAAGUAGACAAAGACCCCUUCACAUUUGAGAUAAUUAUACUUAAAUUCUAAAAAAAUAAUAAGGUUUUCGGUAGCCACCAAAACUUCAUUUUCCUUGCAAUAUGGCCUAAUGGCCACUAAAACUUUAUUUUCGUUGCAAUAUGAUCCAGUCAUCUAUCUACAUCCUAACAGUAUUGUUAGCAGAGUGAGAGAAAAGACCGAAAUAUCCUUGAUUUAGAGAGGCAAGAUAGUGGCUCUCACGCAAUCUGAAAACGCUCUGUCUUUUAUAAUUCAUCCAUUUAUACAGAUCUCAAAACACUUCAUUCUCUAUCAUUCAUCUACUCGCAUAGAUCCCAAAGCGCUUCAUUUUCUAUUAUCCAUCCACAUGCAUAGAUCUCAAAGUAUUUCAUCCUCUAUCAUUAAUCCACCUACACACAUCUCAAUGCACUCCAUUUGUCAUUCAUUCUUCUGCACAAAUCUCAAAGCACUUCAUACUCUAUCAUCCAUCUGUUUUUACAGAUCUUAAAGCACUAUAUUCUCUAUCAUUAAUCUGCCUGCACAAAUCUUAAAGCACUUCAUCUCUAUCAUCCAUCCAUCUGCAUGAUUUCAAAGCACUCAAUUGUCUCUCACCCAUCCACUUAUAUAGAUCUCAAAAGUAUUCCAUCCUCUAUCAUUUAUUAUCGUACAAAUCUUAAAAUACUCUAUUCUCUAUCAUUCAUUUAAGAUCUCAAAUCACUCUACCCUUUGUUAUCCAUCUACUUGUAUAGAUAUCAAAGCGCUCCAUUCUCUACCGUUCAUUUGUCUCAUAGAUCUCAAAGCACUUUAUCCUCUGUCAUUCAUCUCAAAGUAUUUUGUUCUCUACCAUCCAUCUAUUUGCAUAAAUCUCAAAGCAUUCUA